Molecule: ribosomal RNA, 420 nt
Filed under: bacterium enrichment culture clone ALO1_GLFRUDD03HBN7X
Lineage: Bacteria
Description: bacterial SSU rRNA
Rfam family: Bacterial small subunit ribosomal RNA
Source: RNAcentral
GAGUUUGAUCCUGGCUCAGAUUGAACGCUGGCGGCAUGCCUUACACAUGCAAGUCGAACGGCAGCACGGGAGCUUGGCUCCUGGUGGCGAGUGGCGAACGGGUGAGUAAUGCAUCGGAACGUAUCCUGGAGUGGGGGAUAACGUAGCGAAAGUUACGCUAAUACCGCAUAUUCUGUGAGCAGGAAAGCGGGGGACCUUCGGGCCUCGCGCUCUUGGAGCGGCCGAUGUCGGAUUAGCUAGUUGGUGAGGUAAAGGCUCACCAAGGCGACGAUCCGUAGCAGGUCUGAGAGGAUGAUCUGCCACACUGGAACUGAGACACGGUCCAGACUCCUACGGGAGGCAGCAGUGGGGAAUUUUGGACAAUGGGGGCAACCCUGAUCCAGCCAUGCCGCGUGAGUGAAGAAGGCCUCGGUUGUAAGG